GAUGAACGCUGGCGGCGUGCCUAAUACAUGCAAGUCGAGCGAACAGACGAGGAGCUUGCUCCUCUGACGUUAGCGGCGGACGGGUGAGUAACACGUGGAUAACCUACCUAUAAGACUGGGAUAACUUCGGGAAACCGGAGCUAAUACCGGAUAACAUGUUGAACCGCAUGGUUCAACAGUGAAAGACGGUCUUGCUGUCACUUAUAGAUGGAUCCGCGCCGCAUAGGCAGUUGGUAAGGUAACGGCUUACCAAAGCAACGAUGCGGAGCCGACCUGAGAGGGUGAUCGGCCACACUGUAACGGAGACACGGUCCAGACUCCUACGGGAGGCAGCAGUAGGGAAUCUUCCGCAAUGGGCGAAAGCCUGACGGAGCAACGCCGCGUGAGUGAUGAAGGUCUUCGGAUCGUAAAACUCUGUUAUUAGGGAAGAACAAAUGUGUAAGUAACUAUGCACGUCUUGACGGUACCUAAUCAGAAAGCCACGGCUAACUACGUG
This 496-nucleotide ribosomal RNA is filed under the name uncultured bacterium. RNAcentral's name for it is "partial 16S ribosomal RNA". It matches the Rfam family "Bacterial small subunit ribosomal RNA", at positions 28 to 507 of the family's 1533-position model. The record is from RNAcentral.